RNAcentral lists this transfer RNA (72 nucleotides) under Bos taurus (domestic cattle). It matches the Rfam family "tRNA". Rfam says of the family: Transfer RNA (tRNA) molecules are approximately 80 nucleotides in length. RNAcentral also lists the same sequence under 4 other names. The record is from Rfam by way of RNAcentral. Lineage: Eukaryota; Metazoa; Chordata; Mammalia; Artiodactyla; Bovidae.
UCCCUGGUGGCUCAGAUGGUAAAGAAUCUGCCUGCAAUGCGGGAGACCCAGGUUCAAUUCCUGGGUGAGGAA